RNAcentral lists this ribosomal RNA (253 nucleotides) under uncultured bacterium. RNAcentral describes it as "partial 16S ribosomal RNA". It matches the Rfam family "Bacterial small subunit ribosomal RNA", at positions 524 to 776 of the family's 1533-position model. The record is from RNAcentral.
UACGUAGGUGGCGAGCGUUGUCCGGAUUUACUGGGCGUAAAGAGCGCGCAGGCGGUCGUUCAAGUCGCGUGUGAAAGCCCCCGGCUCAACUGGGGAGGGUCACGCGAUACUGAUCGACUCGAAGGCAGGAGAGGGUAGUGGAAUUCCCGGUGUAGUGGUGAAAUGCGCAGAUAUCGGGAGGAACACCUAUGGCGAAGGCAGCUCGCUGGGACGUUACUGACGCUGAGACGCGAAAGCGUGGGGAGCAAACAGG